GGGUUGUGAGGUUAAGCGACUAAGCGUACACGGUGGAUGCCCUGGCAGUCAGAGGCGAUGAAGGACGUGCUAAUCUGCGAUAAGCGUCGGUAAGGUGAUAUGAACCGUUAUAACCGGCGAUUUCCGAAUGGGGAAACCCAGUGUGAUUCGUCACACUAUCAUUAACUGAAUCCAUAGGUUAAUGAGGCGAACCGGGGGAACUGAAACAUCUAAGUACCCCGAGGAAAAGAAAUCAACCGAGAUUCCCCCAGUAGCGGCGAGCGAACGGGGAGGAGCCCAGAGCCUGAAUCAGUGUGUGUGUUAGUGGAAGCGUCUGGAAAGGCGCGCGAUACAGGGUGACAGCCCCGUACACAAAAAUGCACAUACUGUGAGCUCGAUGAGUAGGGCGGGACACGUGGUAUCCUGUCUGAAUAUGGGGGGACCAUCCUCCAAGGCUAAAUACUCCUGACUGACCGAUAGUGAACCAGUACCGUGAGGGAAAGGCGAAAAGAACCCCGGCGAGGGGAGUGAAAAAGAACCUGAAACCGUGUACGUACAAGCAGUGGGAGCCUCUUUAUGGGGUGACUGCGUACCUUUUGUAUAAUGGGUCAGCGACUUAUAUUCUGUAGCAAGGUUAACCGAAUAGGGGAGCCGAAGGGAAACCGAGUCUUAACUGGGCGUUAAGUUGCAGGGUAUAGACCCGAAACCCGGUGAUCUAGCCAUGGGCAGGUUGAAGGUUGGGUAACACUAACUGGAGGACCGAACCGACUAAUGUUGAAAAAUUAGCGGAUGACUUGUGGCUGGGGGUGAAAGGCCAAUCAAACCGGGAGAUAGCUGGUUCUCCCCGAAAGCUAUUUAGGUAGCGCCUCGUGAAUUCAUCUCCGGGGGUAGAGCACUGUUUCGGCAAGGGGGUCAUCCCGACUUACCAACCCGAUGCAAACUGCGAAUACCGGAGAAUGUUAUCACGGGAGACACACGGCGGGUGCUAACGUCCGUCGUGAAGAGGGAAACAACCCAGACCGCCAGCUAAGGUCCCAAAGUCAUGGUUAAGUGGGAAACGAUGUGGGAAGGCCCAGACAGCCAGGAUGUUGGCUUAGAAGCAGCCAUCAUUUAAAGAAAGCGUAAUAGCUCACUGGUCGAGUCGGCCUGCGCGGAAGAUGUAACGGGGCUAAACCAUGCACCGAAGCUGCGGCAGCGACACUAUGUGUUGUUGGGUAGGGGAGCGUUCUGUAAGCCUGUGAAGGUGGCCUGUGAGGGUGGCUGGAGGUAUCAGAAGUGCGAAUGCUGACAUAAGUAACGAUAAAGCGGGUGAAAAGCCCGCUCGCCGGAAGACCAAGGGUUCCUGUCCAACGUUAAUCGGGGCAGGGUGAGUCGACCCCUAAGGCGAGGCCGAAAGGCGUAGUCGAUGGGAAACAGGUUAAUAUUCCUGUACUUGGUGUUACUGCGAAGGGGGGACGGAGAAGGCUAUGUUGGCCGGGCGACGGUUGUCCCGGUUUAAGCGUGUAGGCUGGUUUUCCAGGCAAAUCCGGAAAAUCAAGGCUGAGGCGUGAUGACGAGGCACUACGGUGCUGAAGCAACAAAUGCCCUGCUUCCAGGAAAAGCCUCUAAGCAUCAGGUAACAUCAAAUCGUACCCCAAACCGACACAGGUGGUCAGGUAGAGAAUACCAAGGCGCUUGAGAGAACUCGGGUGAAGGAACUAGGCAAAAUGGUGCCGUAACUUCGGGAGAAGGCACGCUGAUAUGUAGGUGAAGUCCCUCGCGGAUGGAGCUGAAAUCAGUCGAAGAUACCAGCUGGCUGCAACUGUUUAUUAAAAACACAGCACUGUGCAAACACGAAAGUGGACGUAUACGGUGUGACGCCUGCCCGGUGCCGGAAGGUUAAUUGAUGGGGUCAGCGCAAGCGAAGCUCUUGAUCGAAGCCCCGGUAAACGGCGGCCGUAACUAUAACGGUCCUAAGGUAGCGAAAUUCCUUGUCGGGUAAGUUCCGACCUGCACGAAUGGCGUAAUGAUGGCCAGGCUGUCUCCACCCGAGACUCAGUGAAAUUGAACUCGCUGUGAAGAUGCAGUGUACCCGCGGCAAGACGGAAAGACCCCGUGAACCUUUACUAUAGCUUGACACUGAACAUUGAGCCUUGAUGUGUAGGAUAGGUGGGAGGCUUUGAAGUGUGGACGCCAGUCUGCAUGGAGCCGACCUUGAAAUACCACCCUUUAAUGUUUGAUGUUCUAACGUUGGCCCCUGAUCGGGGUUGCGGACAGUGUCUGGUGGGUAGUUUGACUGGGGCGGUCUCCUCCUAAAGAGUAACGGAGGAGCACGAAGGUUGGCUAAUCCUGGUCGGACAUCAGGAGGUUAGUGCAAUGGCAUAAGCCAGCUUGACUGCGAGCGUGACGGCGCGAGCAGGUGCGAAAGCAGGUCAUAGUGAUCCGGUGGUUCUGAAUGGAAGGGCCAUCGCUCAACGGAUAAAAGGUACUCCGGGGAUAACAGGCUGAUACCGCCCAAGAGUUCAUAUCGACGGCGGUGUUUGGCACCUCGAUGUCGGCUCAUCACAUCCUGGGGCUGAAGUAGGUCCCAAGGGUAUGGCUGUUCGCCAUUUAAAGUGGUACGCGAGCUGGGUUUAGAACGUCGUGAGACAGUUCGGUCCCUAUCUGCCGUGGGCGCUGGAGAACUGAGGGGGGCUGCUCCUAGUACGAGAGGACCGGAGUGGACGCAUCACUGGUGUUCGGGUUGUCAUGCCAAUGGCACUGCCCGGUAGCUAAAUGCGGAAGAGAUAAGUGCUGAAAGCAUCUAAGCACGAAACUUGCCCCGAGAUGAGUUCUCCCUGACUCCUUGAGAGUCCUGAAGGAACGUUGAAGACGACGACGUUGAUAGGCCGGGUGUGUAAGCGCAGCGAUGCGUUGAGCUAACCGGUACUAAUGAACCGUGAGGCUUAACCUUACAACGCCGAAG
This 2923-nucleotide ribosomal RNA is filed under the name Escherichia coli. Its description in RNAcentral is "bacterial LSU rRNA". It matches the Rfam family "Bacterial large subunit ribosomal RNA". The record is from RNAcentral. Lineage: Bacteria; Pseudomonadati; Pseudomonadota; Gammaproteobacteria; Enterobacterales; Enterobacteriaceae.